This 451-nucleotide ribosomal RNA is filed under the name uncultured bacterium. RNAcentral's name for it is "bacterial SSU rRNA". It matches the Rfam family "Bacterial small subunit ribosomal RNA", at positions 29 to 523 of the family's 1533-position model. The record is from RNAcentral.
AACGAACGCUGGCGGCAUGCCUAACACAUGCAAGUCGAACGAGACCUUCGGGUCUAGUGGCGCACGGGUGCGUAACGCGUGGGAACCUGCCUUUAGGUUCGGAAUAACUCAGAGAAAUUUGAGCUAAUACCGGAUAAUGUCUUCGGACCAAAGAUUUAUCGCCUUUAGAUGGGCCCGCGUAAGAUUAGCUAGUUGGUGGGGUAAAGGCCUACCAAGGCGACGAUCUUUAGCUGGUCUGAGAGGAUGAUCAGCCACACUGGGACUGAGACACGGCCCAGACUCCUACGGGAGGCAGCAGUGGGGAAUAUUGGACAAUGGGCGAAAGCCUGAUCCAGCAAUGCCGCGUGAGUGAUGAAGGCCUUAGGGUUGUAAAAGCUCUUUUACCCGAGAUGAUAAUGACAGUAUCGGGAGAAUAAGACUCCGGCUAACUCCGUGCCAGCAGCCGCGGAAU